This is a non-coding RNA of Paralichthys olivaceus (Japanese flounder), 2575 nucleotides long. Lineage: Eukaryota; Metazoa; Chordata; Actinopteri; Pleuronectiformes; Paralichthyidae. The record is from RefSeq and is a predicted model, not a curated record.
GUUUUCCGCUGUCUGCCAUCCAGCGACGUGCGUAACAUCCUGGAGCUGGACGGCUACCUGGCGAAGGCAGGCCUGGAUAAGGAGGACCCGGCCCGAGCCCGCGAGAAGCUGAAGAAGAUUCGCGGCUUCCUGGUCCAGUUUCCUCUUCAGUUCCUGUGUGAGCAAAACCUGCUUCCUCCCAUCGGCUCCAAGGAGGCCAUGGUGCCCAUGGAGGUCUGGACCUGAGACUCACCUGUGUGUGUUCAUGUGGUACGCACACACACACAACCUGCCGCCAUUUUGGAGAUUCUAGUGGCUCAAAACUUCUGAAGUUGAUUUUAAAAUCUUUUAUCUUGUCCAGUGGCUCGUGAUCAUGUUUUUACCCUGAAUUAAGACUCGCGGGAGCUUAAACCCAAUCCACAUAAAAACGAUUUAUAUGUUCAGUGAACAGCAGUUUUUAAGUUGGUGAAAUGAGAAGUGAACAGGAAGGGAGGAGCCAUUUCUUUUAUUUGUUGAAUCAGUUUGCGUAGAGCGAUUGUUUUUCCCCGGGCGUGCCCGAGAACAUAAACCUGGGAGUUGUUUCUAAAGGAGCUGCUGUAGGUUUUUAUGUUUUCCAGAUAGAUAGAUCUGGAUCGUCUGGUUUUUUUCUCCAGGGCCAAAAUAAAUCAGCACUGUUGACAAUUCAUCUCCAGUGAUUAGGAACCAGAACGUAGCUGAUCAGUCUGGUUUGCAGACAUUUACACUACGACCUCCAAAAUGGCAUCAGCUGUGUUUGCUGCAGAUUCACGAUGAAGCCUCUGAACUGUCGGUGCCACUGAGAGCGCACACAUAGCAUAACACUGCAUCACACACACACACACACACACACACACACACAUACACAUAAGCAGACGCAGCGUUGAACUCUACGAUACCUGACAACCUGACGUUUACAAGAAGCGAAUGAAGACAUGGAAGAGUUGGAAGCUUCCUCCUUCCAGAUCGUUUCCUCUGAAACCUCCGCUCCCCUGCUCUCUGACAACACUAUGCAACGUCCAGGGGUCUGUGAACGCAGCUCGGACUCCUCUGCGUUCGAAAAAGACACUAAAAAGAGACUUUGAUGAAGACGGCGGCGCAGAGACGAGGAUGAAGAGCUGCGUCGUAUAUCUCUGAACUCCCAGAGUUUUAAUAUUCAUGUCAAACAGAAAAUGUCGAGUGCCAAAGAAGACGGACUGUAGCCCGAUGUUGAGACAUUGACAUUCCUCAUUACACUGAAGUGACCUGUUUUUAUACGUCUGCUCUCUGUGCUUCCUUUGGUGCUGCUUUAUUUGAUGGAUCUGUCUCGGGACGUUUUCUGGAGAGAAGUGAAAGAUGUCACCAUUUCAGUUCACAUAUCGGAAAUGUUGCUCAUAUAAUGGUUCAAUCAUAUUUGUACUUGUUUCACUUUUAAUUAAGUUUGUUUACAGGAAAUGAAGCAUUCCACCUUCUGCACCAAGGUGUUUUACUCGUUUUUAGCCUUUAGGGGGCAGCAGAAGAAACUGAAAGCACAGGAUGAGCAUGUUAUCACUUUGCAUCACAUCAAAACCAAUGACUGUUUACACGUCCUACAUAACGAUUGGUUCCGUUUCUUGCAUGAGAAGAUCACUUAGUGCCACGUUGAAGCUGCUACAGUCGGACAUUUAUAUUUUACAGCUUGGUAACGGGGGUUGCAGUCGGUGGAGGUCAGGUCUUUAUCAAAGCUGAUAACUUGUGAGAAUCCUGUUCUCAGUUUCUUUCAGCUGCUCACGUGUGGACGGAGGAUCCAGUGAACAGGUCGAAGGAGAAUAAUAAAAAGUCCAGUUUUAAAUUUUGAACUCAAACCGUCGUCUCUGGAUUUUCGAUUGUCUGGAAAGCGCCAACCUUCCUCCGUGUCUUCCUGUUGGUCUGUAAAUUAUCUGCAUGAUGCUGUUUAGUGCUUUAAAUUCAAAGACGUUACCUUGAGCUGAGAGCAUGAGAGCAGCUCGUUGCCAUUAAACCCGACAAAAAAAAAAAAGAGCAUGAAGCCCUGCAAACUGAAGGGUUCGUUUAAAGCCAUGGACUGUGUUGUUGCUAAAAGACGUGCCUGUCCCCGAACUGAACCUGACGCUCCUCUUCUGUCGAUAUCUCUGGUAAAUGGGCCCUGAAGCGUGCUCCUUCUUUUUCUUCUUCCUCUCUACCUCCUUGUGUUUUCUACCUCCAGAGCUCAAAAAAAAAAAAAAACUGUUAUGAAUAUUUGCAGCCAAGUGAAGUCGCCCGAACAGAAAAAAGAAAUGUUCAAAGUUUGCUGUCGUGUGCAAUAACCAGCCUGUUUCCAUCCGAACCAGAAUCUGUAGCAGAAGCAGAAAGAUGACUUUGAACUGUUUCACUUAUUUAUACUUUUUCUCUUUUUCCUCGGACCUGAGCUGCAGAGCUUCACAAACAGACCCCGGCUUUUCUCUGCUUUAUCACUGUGUCUCUAUGGAAACUGCACUAUUUGCACAGACUGUUGUUGUCUCUGGCGACUCCUUAAUGACGAUAUGCAGUACCACGUCAUGUGUUGUUUGUUUUCUUGUGAAAAGAUGAAAUAAAUAAAUCAUUAAAAAUGGAUUUUUUUUCAUGA